This is an RNA transcript of Dromiciops gliroides (monito del monte), 1417 nucleotides long. It is a transcript of the gene named selenoprotein Pb-like, with no coding region annotated. Lineage: Eukaryota; Metazoa; Chordata; Mammalia; Microbiotheria; Microbiotheriidae. The record is from RefSeq and is a predicted model, not a curated record. The transcript has 6 exons.
AGGCUGAGCUCCCGCUCCAAGGGACAGCAGCUGAGGAGACCACCCAACACCAGCUGGGCAGGAAUUAACAUUGUGUUUGGAGCUGGACACAGCUGGAGCCCAACCCAGCCCCCUCAUUUUACAGAUAAGGAAACUGAGGCCCCGUCUGAGGUCACACAGGGAGAAAAGCCGUCAUUUUAACCAGGUCCUUUGGCUCUGCAUUCUCAUCAUGCUGCCCUCCCUGAGGGGAAGGAGCUACUGCUAGAAUGCAGGUGGCAGGGAUGGGUCCCCAGGGCCUAGCUGUGGCCAUUCUGCUGGGGCUGGUGGGAGCCGGCCUGGCCUCUGAGAAUGGAACAAGGAUCUGCCAGCCAGCCCCAAAGUGGCAAGUGGAUGGAGGUGUGUCCCCCAUGGAGGAAGCCCUGGGCCAAGUGACGGUGGUGGCCCUCCUGAAGGCCAGCUGACAAUUCUGUCUCAAGCAAGCUGCCAGCAUAGGCAACUUGCAGGAGCGCCUGGCCCGGGCAGGCAUUCCCCAUGUCCACUUCCUCAUAGUCAACGAGAAGUCGCCCCUGUCCCAGGCUCUGCAUGGGGAGCUGGAACUCCACGCGCCCCAGGGUGUACCUGUCUACGGCCAGCAAGGGCCCGGCCCUGACAUCUGGGGCAUCCUCAGGGGGGGACAAGGAUGAUUUCCUUAUCUAUGACAGGUGCGGCCGCUUGACUUUCCACAUUCAGCUGCCCUUUAGCUUCCUGCACUUUCCCUAUGUGGAGUCAGCCAUUCGCUUCACCCACCGGCAAGAUCACUGUGGGAACUGUUCUUUCUACUCUGCCCAGGUGAACAGCACGAACGAGGGGAAGGCUGAGUUGUCCACUCAGUCCCCAAGCCUAGAAGGGCAGGAGCCUCUGGGUGAGGGUCCCGGCACCCACAGGCUGACUCCGUUGUCCAGCACCUUUCCCACAGCCCAUGCCCGCGAUCCUGGCCACAGCCAUGGCAAGGAGCCAUUACCCAAUCCUCCUGUACACAGUCUAGAGCAGCCCCGAAAUGAGGAGAACACUGAAUAAGGCCCUGCUCUACAGGCUGGGCCCAAGGUCACCAUCCCAGCCCCCAACCCCACCCUCUGUCAACCUGGCCCCUGAGUCAGCGAGAAGAAACCAAGGCACCACGGAGUCCAGGUCUUCCUUGAUCUCGUGUGUCUCCAUCAAGGCUGUGGCCUUGCCCACCACCCUUCCCUCUCUCAAUUAAUGAUGCCCACAGUGAAACCCGGAGAGCCGGCCAUGGUGGGCUGAUGCUGCGUAGAGAGAGAGGAGGAGUAAGGAAGUCUUCAUCGUCCAUACCCAGGCAUAAACGCAAGCCAAGAUGGGGCACCACCAGACCCAACACAACUGUUCAGAGUGGGUGGGGGGCUUGGGAAAAUGGCCAAUAAACUCCUCUAGCUGCCCAAAA